RNAcentral lists this ribosomal RNA (503 nucleotides) under uncultured bacterium. RNAcentral describes it as "partial 16S ribosomal RNA". It matches the Rfam family "Bacterial small subunit ribosomal RNA", at positions 30 to 523 of the family's 1533-position model. The record is from RNAcentral.
AUUGAACGCUGGCGGCAGGCUUAACACAUGCAAGUCGAGCGGGGUGAUGGUGCUUGCACUAUCACUUAGCGGCGGACGGGUGAGUAAUGCUUAGGAAUCUGCCUAUUAGUGGGGGACAACAUCUCGAAAGGGAUGCUAAUACCGCAUACGUCCUACGGGAGAAAGCAGGGGAUCACUUGUGACCUCGCGCUAAUAGAUGAGCCUAAGUCGGAUUAGCUAGUUGGUGGGGUAAAGGCCUACCAAGGCGACGAUCUGUAGCGGGUCUGAGAGGAUGAUCCGCCACACUGGGACUGAGACACGGCCCAGACUCCUACGGGAGGCAGCAGUGGGGAAUAUUGGACAAUGGGGGGAACCCUGAUCCAGCCAUGCCGCGUGUGUGAAGAAGGCCUUAUGGUUGUAAAGCACUUUAAGCGAGGAGGAGGCUCUUUUGGUUAAUACCCAAGAUGAGUGGACGUUACUCGCAGAAUAAGCACCGGCUAACUCUGUGCCAGCCGCCGCCGCGG